This 472-nucleotide ribosomal RNA is filed under the name uncultured bacterium. RNAcentral describes it as "bacterial SSU rRNA". It matches the Rfam family "Bacterial small subunit ribosomal RNA", at positions 328 to 792 of the family's 1533-position model. The record is from RNAcentral.
GCGCCAGACUCCUACGGGAGGCAGCAGUGGGGAAUAUUGCGCAAUGGGCGAAAGCCUGACGCAGCGACGCCGCGUGAGGGAUGAAGGUUCUCGGAUCGUAAGCCUCUGUCAGAAGGGAAGAAAUUAUAUCAUGCUAAUCAGUGGUGUAUUAACGGUACCUUCAAAGGAAGCACCGGCUAACUCCGUGCCAGCAGCCGCGGUAAUACGGAGGGUGCAAGCGUUGUCCGGAAUCAUUGGGCGUAAAGAGUUCGUAGGCGGUAUGUUAAGUCUGGUGUUAAAUGCAGAAGCUCAACUUCUGUUCGGCACUGGAUACUGGCAAACUAGAAUGCGGUAGAGGUAAAGGGAAUUCCUGGUGUAGCGGUGAAAUGCUUAGAUAUCAGGAGGAACAUCGGUGGCGUAAGCGCUUUACUGGGCCGUAAUUGACGCUGAGGAACGAAAGCCAGGGUAGCAAAUGGGAUUAGAUACCCCAGUA